GCCUCCGUAGCUCAACUGGAUAGAGCGUUGCGCUUCGGACGCAAAGGUUGCGGGUUCGAAUCCUGCCGGGGGCU
This 74-nucleotide transfer RNA is filed under the name Candidatus Nealsonbacteria bacterium RIFOXYB1_FULL_40_15. RNAcentral describes it as "tRNA-Arg". It matches the Rfam family "tRNA". Rfam says of the family: Transfer RNA (tRNA) molecules are approximately 80 nucleotides in length. Their secondary structure includes four short double-helical elements and three loops (D, anti-codon, and T loops). RNAcentral also lists the same sequence under 2 other names. The record is from RNAcentral. Lineage: Bacteria; Candidatus Nealsoniibacteriota.